GAGGACUGGGAGUGUACCCUCCUGGCUGCAGCAGUAGCUGUAAGAGGGAAGACAAGCUGGUGAAGAUCCUGUCCAUUUUGCUAUGGGAGGCUAGAGGACCCCACAAUCUCAGUUGACAACAGAACUGCUGCUUUUUUGGAAGACAAGAGAGCAGAUUUCUGCCUGGCUCAGCCUUCAGCAAUGUGGCAAACAGAGCUCUAGGUGUGUGAGGAGAAUAAUAAAGUGUGCAACUGUCACCAUUUACAAUCUCUCACAAUUUAAAGUUAGAGAGACAAGAUAAGAACGUUUGCUAAUGUCUGUUUCCCAGAGAUCAAAUGUUGAGGAGGACCUGAGCACAUGCACAAGGUGCAUGAAAGAAGAUCAGAUGCUGGAGCACAUUCAGUCCCCAAAGAGGCCACUUUUAAGGCUGGCCACACUACAGCUCUAACUAUAUCACUGCAUGGGUGUCUGGUUUAAUUAUAGGUCUCUGUAUUGGAACACUGUUUUUGUUACUAGCAUGGAUGGGACAACACAGCUAUAGAAUCAAGUUAGGGAAAUAUUUAUAAUCUAUAUCGAGGACAUAUUUCAAACAGAAAAGCCAUAUUAGAACAACUACACUCCUUGCCGUGCUGCAGAGCUGCUUAACAUGGUGCUGUUUAACAUGGCUGGAUGAGAUAAAUUCUCUUAUUAGAAGCUGACUGUAUUGUAUGCAUGCAUAUGGGAUUACUGAAUAAAUAGGUGCCACAGUUAGAUUUUGAAGGGAUAAACCACUAUACUGUAAAAAUAUAUAUAUAGUGAUCUUGUAAUCCACAUACUUAAGAUGCAGUGUGUUCUUUAUUUAUGUAAGCCCAAAAAGAGAAACGG
Mauremys mutica (yellowpond turtle) is the source of this 843-nucleotide long non-coding RNA. RefSeq lists it as uncharacterized. The record is from RefSeq and is a predicted model, not a curated record. The transcript is spliced from 3 exons. NCBI's taxonomy places the organism in Eukaryota, Metazoa, Chordata, Testudines, Geoemydidae.